AAAAUUGCCGUUGAAACUGGUAGUCUUGAGUAUAGAUGAAGUAGGCGGAAUGCGUGGUGUAGCGGUGAAAUGCAUAGAGAUCACGCAGAACUCCGAUUGCGAAGGCAGCUUACUAAGGUAUAACUGACGCUGAAGCACGAAAGCGUGGGUAUCAAACAGGAUUAGAUACCCUGGUAGUCCACGCAGUAAACGAUGAUUACUAGGAGUUUGCGAUAUAGUGUAAGCUCUACAGCGAAAGCGUUAAGUAAUCCACCUGGGGAGUACGCCGGCAACGGUGAAACUCAAAGGAAUUGACGGGGGCCCGCACAAGCGGAGGAACAUGUGGUUUAAUUCGAUGAUACGCGAGGAACCUUACCCGGGAUUGAAAUGUAGACGACGGAGAGUGAGAGCUUUCUUCCCUUCGGGGCGUCUAUGUAGGUGCUGCAUGGUUGUCGUCAGCUCGUGCCGUGAGGUGUCGGCUUAAGUGCCAUAACGAGCGCAACCCUGACUGUCAGUUGCUAACAGGUAAAGCUGAGGACUCUGGCGGGACUGCCGGCGUAAGCUGUGAGGAAGGUUGGGAUGACGUCAAAUCAGCACGGCCCUUACAUCCGGGGCGACACACGUGUUACAAUGGCAGGGACAAAGGGCAGCUACCGGGCGACCGGAUGCCAAUCUCCAAACCCUGUCUCAGUCCGGAUCGGAGUCUGCAACUCGACUCCGUGAAGCUGGAUUCGCUAGUAAUCGCGCAUCAGCCGUGGCGCGGUGAAUACGUUCCCGGGCCUUGUACACACCGCCCGUCAAGCCAUGGGAGCCGGGGGUACCUGAAGUCCGUAACCGCGAGGAUCGGCCUAGGGUAAAACUGGUGACUGGGGCUAAGUCGUAACAAGGUAGCCGUAAUA
RNAcentral lists this ribosomal RNA (878 nucleotides) under uncultured bacterium. RNAcentral describes it as "bacterial SSU rRNA". It matches the Rfam family "Bacterial small subunit ribosomal RNA", at positions 617 to 1507 of the family's 1533-position model. The record is from RNAcentral.